This 414-nucleotide ribosomal RNA is filed under the name uncultured bacterium. Its description in RNAcentral is "bacterial SSU rRNA". It matches the Rfam family "Bacterial small subunit ribosomal RNA", at positions 505 to 916 of the family's 1533-position model. The record is from RNAcentral.
GUGCCAGCAGCCGCGGUAAUACGUAGGGUGCAAGCGUUGUCCGGAUUUAUUGGGCGUAAAGAGCUCGUAGGCGGUUAGUCACGUCGGAUGUGAAAUCCCAGAGCUUAACUCUGGGCCUGCAUUCGAUACGGGCUGACUAGAGUGUUGUAGGGGAGACUGGAACUCCUGGUGUAGCGGUGAAAUGCGCAGAUAUCAGGAAGAACACCGGUGGCGAAGGCGGGUCUCUGGGCAACUACUGACGCUGAGGAGCGAAAGCGUGGGGAGCAAACAGGAUUAGAUACCCUGGUAGUCCACGCCGUAAACGGUGGGCGCUAGGUGUGGGGAACAUUCCACGUUCUCCGUGCCGCAGCUAACGCAUUAAGCGCCCCGCCUGGGGAGUACGGCCGCAAGGCUAAAACUCAAAGGAAUUGACGG